CAGAAUGCGGAAGUAUGUUGCUACCGGUAACUCCGCCCACCCCAAUGGCGUAAACAACUAAACAACAUCAAAAAUUUGCUGAGGGGAGUGGACGUUUAUAAUCAGAUAUCAUAUCAAACCAUAAAAUGCAUCAAGUCUGGUGAAUUAUCAUGGCAAUCAUGAUGAGAUGAAGCUCAAGAUGCUCUUUGGAUCACCUGAACUUUUGGACCCGAACACAUAUUAUCACAUGAAAUUGAGGCAGCCACAUGGAACCGGCAGCCCUCGGGCAAGGGCCCUCUGUGUCUUUGUCUGCCUCUCGUUCUAAAGUGGACUCCUCAAGCCUUAAACCAGAGGGAUGGCCUCUUCCUCAGGUUAUGGGUGACAUAUGCCUAAUCUACCAUAGAGGAACAUCUGCACUCGCUGCCUCAGUACAGGUGUAGGUGCUUCUCAAAUGACUGAACCAAUGAGGCGUCCACUGCAGCAAUGCAUUAUGGUCACUAAAGCACUGGAUAUACUAAAUAGAAUCACUUUGCAUUAGUGAGUGCCCACUUAAGACACAAGAGCCAAGCUGUUUUUAAAGUUAAGGUGUGUUUUUUUUAAAUGGAAGUGUUUGAAACCUAAUUGAACAAUGAAGUGGUUUGGAUUGGUGUUUGUUUGUGAUAAAGUAAAAUGUAAUUUAUUUCUGUGAUGCAAA
Long non-coding RNA from Megalobrama amblycephala (Wuchang bream), 673 nucleotides. RefSeq lists it as uncharacterized. The transcript has 3 exons. Lineage: Eukaryota; Metazoa; Chordata; Actinopteri; Cypriniformes; Xenocyprididae. The record is from RefSeq and is a predicted model, not a curated record.